AGGUGGAGGAGAGAGCAUGCUGGGAAGCGUGGCCUGCAGAUCCUGGCCUGGAAGGCAGGGGGAGGUGGGCUGGGACAGGAAACCUCCUGGCACCAGCUUGGUGGCUCUGGGACGAAGAAGUGGCUGCAGAGACAGAGCUGAGCCACUGAGCCUUGAGCUGGGAAGAAGGCUCAGCCCUUCUCCUCCCCAAGCCCCUACUCGCUCCCAACAGAACCUCCUGAACCUCCUGCCGCCUGGAAAAGCCACAGCUGCUGCCAACAGGAGGGACAGGGCACGCCCAGCCCAGUCGCCCAAGAAGUUACCUUCAGGGAGAUUUUUUUUUUUAAGAUUUUAUUUAUUCAUGAGAGAUGCACAGAGAGAAGCAGAGACACAGGCAGAGGGAGAAGCAGGCUCCCUGCGGGGAGCCCGAUGUGGGACUCGAUCCCGGGACUCCAGGAUCACGCCCUGGGCCAAAGGCAGGCGCUCAACCGCUGAGCCCCCUGGAUGUCCCCACCUUGAGGAAGAGUAACAGGAAACCAGCAGCCCCGGAGCCAGAGCGCCUUCGUGCUUGCUUCCUGGGCCCUGGGUCACCUCCAGUUUCAAUCUGACGACAAAGGGCGGAUCCCUGGCAGCCCACAGCCAGCCCACCCGCAGGGCCUCCUCUAGAGGGCACCUGGCCUCUUCCCCCUGCCCCAGGCUCUUUCCAGAACCUCUCCGCUCACCGUGAGAGCGGCCGACAGAGAGCGGGGAAGCUGAGGCUCCCAGGCCAGGCCUCAAGCAAAGGAAGACGGCUUUGUCCUUCAGCCCUCUGUCCGCUGCAGAGGUGCAGACCUGCCCAGUGCAAGUCUGUUUCAUGAAGUUCUACUGGAUGCGGCCCUGGGAGAGAGAACCUAACACAUUUCCAGGAAAACGCAUUAGAGCUGGUGAAACUGUUGUUUUUAGAGUCCAAGGACAAGUCAUUGCAAGAGUUGACAGAGUAAUCAAAGUUCACCGGGUGGAUUAUGGAGACAGCAAAGGUCUGACUCAAGGGGACACUAAUGAAGCUGCCGAGAGAAGCUUGUGCAAACAGGACCAGGCCGGGCUCGGACAGGGGGACACGACCGGAGGAGCCACAGGGUUUUGUCGCGUGUUGCUGCGUCCCAGUGAAAACGAGUGACUGUCUGGAGCUCCAGCGCUUGGUUUUGGCUGUCACAGGUGCACGUGUACUGCUAAAAACAUGAAUCUGAAAAUAAGGAAGAGUUCCUGGGACCCGACUGAAAUGAGUUCUGUUGAAAAAGAGAAAAACUGAGACUGGUCUUUGGUGAAAUCAUCAAGCUGCUGGAUCAAGUCUUUCUGAGUUAUCUGAGUCCAUCAAGCCUCAGAGCUGCUUCAGCCAGUGGGAGGACAGUCUUGUUAGUGCCACCAAAGGCUCCUGAAGAUUCUGUGCCCGCCGUGAAGCAUCCCUAAGCACUGCAGCCACUCGGGAAGGGCUCCUCUGGGCUGCUCUAAGCUACGAUGGCUUCCACCUGGUCCCGUGCUGGAGACGUGCUCCCGAGUACUCCAGACUAUUUUUUUAGAGCAGUUCACAACCAAACGGAGUGGAGGUACAGAGUUCCCAUGUCUCCCCCGCGCCCCCCCAGCCUCUCCCACCAGCAGCAGCCCCAUGAAGUGGGACACGUAUCCUAACACCGAACACACAUCGCCACGUCACUCUCACCCAAGUCUGCAGUUUACACAAGGACUCACUCUAGGAAUGUGCGUUUAAGGUCUCCCCGUGGCCUUCUGUGGCUUGCCAGCCCGCUUCUCAGCACUGCAUAAUGUCCCAUCGGUGGAUGGACCCACUGUUUACCAUCCAGUCACCUUCUGAAGUAUGUCCUGGCUGCUUCCAAGUUGUGGCCAUUAUGUGCGAUAAACACCAUGGUAUAGGUUUUGUGUAGACACAGGUUUUCAACCCCUUUGGGUAAGCACCAAGAAGCAAGAUGGCUGGGUCAUACGGUAAGAGCGUGUUUAGUUUUGCAGGAAAGUGCCAGACUGACUUCCGAAGUGACUGUACCAUGUUUCAUCCUCAUCAGCAAGGAAGGAGCGGUCCCCUUUGCUGCACAUCCUCGCCAGCACUCGGCGUUCUCAGCGUUCCGGAUUUUGGCCGCCCUAAUAUAUUAGGAAUCCUGCCUCCACUGUAUUGUGAGAUGUCUGCGACAAAGGGCACAUGUAGAUUCUACUGUCAACAGCCUCAUGUGCACUCCCAGGCCACGGCAUGUACUGCCAGCCCUGGAAGUGAGCCCUCGUGGAUGUAGCUCAUUCAAGCCUUCAGGUGACUCCAGGCCCAGCUGCCACUUGACUGCAAAUUCCUAAGGGACUCUAAAUGAGAACGGCCUGGCUGAGCACAAUAAACUCACAAAAUUAUGAGUGAUAACAAUAAACGUUUGCUCUAAGUCAUUACAUUUUAGGAUAGCUUGUUACAUCAAGAAAUAAUCAGACAACUUCUAAUGUAUGAGUCCGGAGACCCAGAAAAGAAUGGGUGCUACCAGCUUUGGGAUGAUAAAGGAAAACAUUAAGGUACCAUAAACCAAAGAAGAUAGACAAGUACCUGUCACAUAGUAGACAUGCAGUAAACAGGUGCAGAAUGAACAAGCAAGUGAAUAAAUGAAAGUAACCAUGGCAAGAACAGAUUGCUCCUCUUUCCUGGGUUAACAAAGGUCUGGCUCUCUCAGCUACCAGGAAACAAGGCUGUGUCCCCAACCAGCCAUGAUGGAGGGGUGUGCUUGGGGACCCGUCCUAUCUUCCCACUCUAAAAAAUGAAAGAAGCUUCCUCCUCAG
Canis lupus familiaris (dog) is the source of this 2775-nucleotide long non-coding RNA. RefSeq lists it as uncharacterized. The transcript has 5 exons. The record is from RefSeq and is a predicted model, not a curated record. Lineage: Eukaryota; Metazoa; Chordata; Mammalia; Carnivora; Canidae.